RNAcentral lists this ribosomal RNA (198 nucleotides) under uncultured bacterium. Its description in RNAcentral is "partial 16S ribosomal RNA". It matches the Rfam family "Bacterial small subunit ribosomal RNA", at positions 328 to 539 of the family's 1533-position model. The record is from RNAcentral.
ACGCUCGACACCUACGGGAGGCUGCAGUGGGGAAUAUUGCACAAUGGGGGAAACCCUGAUGCAGCGACGCCGCGUGAGUGAAGAAGUAUUUCGGUAUGUAAAGCUCUAUCAGCAGGGAAGAAGAUGACGGUACCUGAGUAAGAAGCCCCGGCUAACUACGUGCCAGCAGCCACGGUAAUCUGAGCGGGCUGGCAAGGC